GAAAGGCCUUGUACACACCACAGUGCCUAAUACAUGCAAGAUCAAGCGAAUCUGAGGGAGCUUGCUCCCAAAGAUUAGCGGCGGACGGGUGAGUAACACGUGGGUAACCUGCCUGUAAGAUUGGGAUAACUCCGGGAAACCGGAGCUAAUACCGGAUAAUAUUUCGAACCGCAUGGUUCGGAAUUGAAAGACGGCUUAUGCUGGCACUUACAGAUGGGCCCCCGGCCCAUUAACUAGUUUGUUAGGUAACCGCUUACCCAGGCAACCAUGCCUAACCCACCUGGGAGGGGGAUCGGCCACCCUGGGGCUGAAACACCGCCCAAACUUCUUCCGGGGGGAGCAGUUGGGAAUCUUCCCCAAUGGACCAAAGUCUGACCGAACAACCCCCCGUGAACCAAGAAAGGUUUCGGGUCCUAAAAUUCUGUUGGUAGGGAAAAACCAGUUCCCGAAUUACCGGUGGGUCCUUGGCCGGACCUAACCAAAAAGCCACCGGUUACUACCUGCCAACCGCCGGCGUAAUUCCUUAGGGGGCAAGCGUGGCCCGGAUUAU
This 550-nucleotide ribosomal RNA is filed under the name bacterium OTU7. Its description in RNAcentral is "bacterial SSU rRNA". It matches the Rfam family "Bacterial small subunit ribosomal RNA", at positions 29 to 544 of the family's 1533-position model. The record is from RNAcentral.